RNAcentral lists this long non-coding RNA (205 nucleotides) under Brassica rapa (field mustard). RNAcentral's name for it is "long non-coding RNA (BRAP_LNC007503)". The record is from RNAcentral. Lineage: Eukaryota; Viridiplantae; Streptophyta; Magnoliopsida; Brassicales; Brassicaceae.
UAUGUUAUUGUUUAUUAUAUUUUUAUUUAUCUAACAUGAUUAUCAUUUUUUUAUUUGUCUUACAACCCUAAUUAUCUUUUUUUAAAUUGUGAACAUGAUUUUAUUUAUUUUGCUUUUCUAAUAAUCAAACUAUUUGAGAUUUAUGGUGCACAAUAUUUGUUUACUGAAAACAAAGCAUACAUAGACCAAAAACACAUUUUUGGAC